RNAcentral lists this ribosomal RNA (292 nucleotides) under uncultured bacterium. RNAcentral's name for it is "partial 16S ribosomal RNA". It matches the Rfam family "Bacterial small subunit ribosomal RNA", at positions 505 to 796 of the family's 1533-position model. The record is from RNAcentral.
GUGCCAGCCGCCGCGGUAAUACGGAGGGGGCUAGCGUCGUUCGGAAUUACUGGGCGUAAAGCGCACGUAGGCGGCUUUGUAAGUAAGAGGUGAAAGCCUGGUGCUCAACACCAGAACUGCCUUUUAGACUGCAUCGCUUGAAUCCAGGAGAGGUGUGUGGAAUUCCGAGUGUAGAGGUGAAAUUCGUAGAUAUUCGGAAGAACACCAGUGGCGAAGGCGGCUCACUGGACUGGUAUUGACGCUGAGGUGCGAAAGCGUGGGGAGCAAACAGGAUUAGAUACCCCGGUAGUCC